AACUCUCGACAAUGGAUAUCUUGGCUCUUGCAUAAGUGGAAUACGUAGUGAAAUACGAUAUUUUGUGUGAAUUAUAUAAUCACGUAAACCAUUAAAUUUUUAAACGCAAGUUGCGCCCGAAGCUAUUAGGCUGAAAGCACGUCAACCUCGACA
Ribosomal RNA from Nicotiana attenuata, 153 nucleotides. It matches the Rfam family "5.8S ribosomal RNA". Rfam says of the family: 5.8S ribosomal RNA (5.8S rRNA) is a component of the large subunit of the eukaryotic ribosome. The record is from Rfam. Lineage: Eukaryota; Viridiplantae; Streptophyta; Magnoliopsida; Solanales; Solanaceae.